AGGGAGAAAAAGCCAUUGCAUUUCAUAGAUAGUUUCUAAUUGAGAAGAUGGAUAGAUUCUUUUUAGAGGUGAAUGAUGGGAAGAGACUUUAGUUUAUACAUUAACUUAUAUAUUUUCCUUUAUUUUCUGAAGCCGUGUGAGUUUGGGGAGAUAAGAAAGACCUACAACCUAUUGGAGUGUUUUCUGGGAUCUUCAGGAAUAUUAUUGUAACCUGCUGUUACAAGCAUGAAGAUGUCAAAAUUCAAAAACAGCUGUCAAGAAGAAGAUGGGAUACCAAUAUUUCUUUUGCAGUGUUUGUCUACAAAGAGAUCUGCUGACAUAUGGAUGUCUGAAUGCAAUCAAAAACCAAAGCAGGUGUUUAGGAAAUAAAGGAGACAGUUACCAGUCAUCAUGAGUGCUGCCAAGCAAUAAGAGGCUUAGGGCAACACUUGAUCAGGGAAAGGAGAACAUGCAUUCAAUGACCCUUGCUGUGUUUAUAAUAUAAACAGAAUAUAAGGAAAGAAACAAGAGAACCAGGGACAGAUUGCAAUUGCUUGGACUGGUUUACAGGCUGGAGAAACCCUCAUCUACCAAGAAAAAAACAACUAUUGAGCUUCAGUAUCUGCAAAAUAGGCUUUUACUGAAAAAACUUGUUUUCUGAACCAUUGAUGAUUCCUGAGACCUGGCAAAUGUGAAGUUUCUACUGGAGGCUAGUGCAAUAAAGAGAUAAUCAACUGAGAAAAACCUGAGUACAGAUCCAGAAAAAGGUACAGCUAAGCAGGAAGCAGCUCAGUGGGGGCUUAUUGAGGUUCUUUCUUUCUGAUAUAUUUGACAUAGUGCUUCAAAUGUCACCAAAAAUAUUCAGAAGUGGUGAGAGUCAGUAUCAAGAAAGUUGUAUUGAUUAAUGUUGCUUCCAGCUAGGUUGUUGGAAUCCUAGAUAAAGGAAUAAGAAAAUAGGAAUUGCAAAGAAAUCAGAGAUGUAUGUAUAUCAUGCACAUAACACAGAGCAAGCAUGUUUCAGGUAGUGAAAUGAUCAUUAGAUGGGCACAAUUGCAAAAAGUCCUUUGAGUCAAAUCUGUUGCAAUCAGUUCUUGUCAGGGGAGUUCUAGCAAGAAUGAAACUUAUUCUUGAAUUUCAGGCUAACUUGAAAAAGCACUCACUGUCACAUAACUUUUGGAAAAAAAGCCUUGAUGCUCUCUAUUUUAACUCCUCUGUCUGUGACUUAGCAUAGCAAAUGUUUAUUCGUGAAGUCUGUUGCCUCAAAAAUCCUGCUCAAGUAGCAUCCCUUUUUGCCGAACAACUCUAUACUUCUCAAAACAAACAGAAAAUUGUUGUCUAUAUCAGAGUUACCACAGUACUCUAAUAAUAUAGAGCAAACGAAAGACAUUUGCUGUCACAGGCCCCUAGGUGCUGUUCCUAUAGAAAUUACAGGUACUUGGGAAGGUUAGGAAUAUAGGUGAAAAUUUCCAUUAAAUCUAUCACACUGGUCAUAAAGCUAUCUAAUAUGUCUCACAUUUUGGUUUGUGUUAAUCUCAAACCAUUUUCUUCUGUACUUGUUUUUUCUGAGGGAACAUCUUGAUAAGAAGGAGAUAAAAAAUGCAUGCCUAGAUGCUGCCAAAUGUAAAACAGCGUCAGCCUUCACAGCCUGACUAAAGGCGAAUUUUAUGCAUUCGUGGAACGCUACUGUCAGUAAAACAUAAGUGCCUCCAAAUGCAGACACCUCUUGAAUUGGAAUUGAAAGACACCAGACUUACUGAUUAUGUACCUACAAGAGCUUUCCAAAAAGGACUUAAAUAUAUGGUUCACUGGCUGUGAAAUAUACCUGUGCAGGACUACUAAUGCUUCAGAAUAUAGACAUCUGAAGAUGAAGAGAAGAUAAAAGAGCACAUACUUCUUGUUUGAAGUACUUUGCUAUUUUCCCUUCUCAUUUUUGCAGAUGAGAAUCAGGUGCAGUGUAUCUCACACUCACAGUCAUCUGGCACAAAGAUACACAUGUACUUCUUGAAUUGCAAUGAACUUCGUUCUCGCUUCAGAGGUAAAUAAGAGGAGGGAGCAAAAUCAGUCUUGACUCAGUCUGACUCUUCUGAGAAACUAUUAUGAAUAAACAAUCAAGAAGUGAAAAGCUGUACUCCUUACCUGGUCUGAGAGGUACACUGCACCUUGAAAGCCUCUUAAAUGACACAGAAGAAAUAGAAAUAGUUGAAAGUUUUUACUCAUCCAACCAAAGGACUCAGGAAAUGACUCUUUUGCAACUAUUAACUCCUUCCUUACUUCAAAGUCUUUCAAGUACAGUUCCACUGCAGUUUGGUAAUGAAUGCUCUGCCCUACACAUGAUUUCUAUUUCAUACUGAGAUUAUGCAGGUGGCCAGAGGAGAAGACUCUCAUCACCUCUAUGAAAGAGAAAAACUGCAGCGUCUUCUGCAUAACUGUGACCAAGUACAAUUUUCUGUUGAGUGGCGCUUAUGUAAUGCAGAAAUGACCUAGAGUAAUGGCUUGACCUCCCAACUCUCAUUUACAGAAGAAGUUUAGGGCAGUGGAGCAACAUUCUCAUAAUGAAUUCAGUGUUGUGGUGCCCAAGAGAGGAAGGUAAAAAUCAAGGUUGUUUGAAGGAGUGGCAUCCAUUGCAGCCUGGACAAGAAUUUCAUAUACAUAUGGUGUAUGAUACUUUCAUACACAGAGGGUCUCCAGCUGAAAGUCAGGCAUCCCGGAGUAUCAGGAGUUAGCCCUCUGCAUGUAAAACCCCUCUGUCCCUAAAACCCUGUUUUCCUUGCCUAAAUGUAUAUGUUCUGAGACUGAACUUAUAAACACUCACGAGCCUGAAAGAUAUUAAAGGCCAGCUGCCCACAAGAGCACAAGCUACUUCCGGGGAGUGGACACCUCCAUAUAGAACCCAGGGUGGCACCUGGGCUUCUGAGCCUGUGGAGAGACCCUGUGUCGGGGUUUUCUGAGACAGGGAUGGGGUUGUCUUGCCUAGCUCUGGGCAUUUGCACUGUAGAUUUCUACACCAGAGUUUGUCAUUCAAGGCAACCGAGUAUAGGCAGUGGAAAGAAAAAGACCUUUGCAAGAUUCUUUAUCUUGGAAUUUUAACAUCCAAAUGAGAGUCUCUUUUGUUAUAUGGAUAUAUAUAUAUAUAUAUGCUAGCAUGAUUUUUUUUAAUGCAAUCAAGAUUUUAUAAAAACAACAACAAAAAAAUCUUUAUUCUUUGCGAGUUAAGUUUUCCUAAUGAUUAUUUCCAGUAACAAAGACUCAAGAGGCAUGCUCCCCCACAAGACACUGGUGAGGCUGGUCUGCACUUGACGUUUAUCCUUUUACAGAACACCACAACAAGAAUGAGGAUACUCAAGGUCCUAGAUCUGAGCAGGUGCUUAGUGCUGUCUUGGAAUGGAGGACAAAACAUUUGUGUGACUCCUCAAGCUAUGGCUAUUGAUGCUAUAGGUUCAUAUGCAGAAACACCAGGGCAUUUUUCUUUGAAGACAGUUGCAGGACAGAGACUCAAGUUCUUGCUUUGACUCCUCUCACUUCCACAUAUAAAAAAUUGAAACCAACUGUCAGUAUUCUCACCAUGAGCCCACAGGUAAACAGGAAGGAGUUUCAGUCGCAUAGCCUCAAAGAGUACAAAAUAUAUUAAAUCAAACCCCCUAAAAACUCCUCCAAAAAGAGAGAUUUGAUUUGCUUCUUUGGUUGUUAUUUUUGUAAACAAUCUUCUUUUAGCUGAAAUAUAGCAGG
This is a long non-coding RNA of Passer domesticus (house sparrow), 3705 nucleotides long. RefSeq lists it as uncharacterized. NCBI's taxonomy places the organism in Eukaryota, Metazoa, Chordata, Aves, Passeriformes, Passeridae. The transcript has 5 exons. The record is from RefSeq and is a predicted model, not a curated record.